UACGGGAGGCAGCAGUGGGGAAUAUUGCACAAUGGGCGAAAGCCUGAUGCAGCUAUGCCGCGUGUAUGAAGAAGGCCUUAGGGUUGUAAAGUACUUUCAUCGGGGAGGAAAAACAAAACUAAUAAUUUUAUUUCUUGACGUUACCCGAAAAAGAAGCACCGGCUAACUCCGUGCCAGCAGCCGCGGUAAUACGGAGGGUGCUAGCGUUAAUCAGAAUUACUGGGCGUAAAGAGCACGUAGGUGGUUUUUUUAAGUCAGAUGUGAAAUCCCUGGGCUUAACCUAGGAACUGCAUUUUGAAACUGAAAUACUAGAGUAUCGUAGAGGGAGGUAGAAUUCUAGGUGUAGCGGUGAAAUGCGUAGAUAUCUGGAGGAAUACCUGUGGCGAAAGCGGCCUCCUAAACGAAUACUGACACUGAGGUGCGAAAGCGUGGGGAGCAAACGAGGGAUUAGAUACCCGU
Molecule: ribosomal RNA, 459 nt
Filed under: uncultured bacterium
Lineage: Bacteria
Description: bacterial SSU rRNA
Rfam family: Bacterial small subunit ribosomal RNA
Source: RNAcentral